This 1262-nucleotide long non-coding RNA is filed under the name Setaria viridis. Its description in RNAcentral is "long non-coding RNA (SVIR_LNC001531)". The record is from RNAcentral. Lineage: Eukaryota; Viridiplantae; Streptophyta; Magnoliopsida; Poales; Poaceae.
UAAAACUAUUUUUAGUACAAAAUAUUAAUUUUAAUUAUAACGAACAAAUACUUGAAUAACUAGAAAAAAUGAUUAUCUAAUGCGAACAAAAAAAAUCAUAUGAUGAACAAAUGAUUAUAAACAACGAAUAAAAUAUUGAACAUGAAGAAAACUGUAUGAUGCAAAUAACGGAGACGUACAAAUAAUAAUAUACUCAAGCAUAACAAUAAAAAUUUGAUAUUAUAUGAUAAAAUAGUACAAUAUGAGCAUUGGAAGAUUUUUUUAGAUACAUAUAUCUGGCACAAGUUAUACGAACUCAAGAAAAAUAAUUAUACUUACAAAAAAAAUAAAUGAACUCACAAAAUAAAAAUAAAUACAUCCGGAACCAAUUAUAUAAACUCACAAAAAAAAACAACAGUACAAAUUGAAUUAUAUGACUAACGGAACAAAAAUCUAUAUACCAUGAACAAAUUGUAGGAACUCACACUAUAAGUAUAUAUACACAUAAAACAAAUUAUAUAAACUCACCGAAUAAAAAUGUGUACACUUGAAACAAAUGCAUUAUGUAUAUAUAACAAUAUUUUAAUCCAUGAGUCUUCAUGGUUGACCAAUUUAGUCUAUGAAAGAGAACAAAUAAUUCAACACGUGAUAUGGUUGACCAAUUCAUAUCAUGAUAGGCAAAAAAAAAUAUUUGUACAUGACCAACAAGUUAUUAUAGAAAGAAUAAGAAGAAAAAGUUAGUAUUCAACAAUUAAAUGAGUCUAUAUCUUUGACCAGUUCAAUCUAUAAAAGGCGAAUAAAUAAAUUAGCAACAAUGAGUGUAUAAAUUGAACACAUAAUUUUACACUACGAACUAAUAAGUCUAUAUAGAACAACUAAAUAUAAGAUUACUUUAAAUUAUAAUUUUGAAUGUACCGCUAAAAAAAUUAUGUACUAAGAAAUGAAGUAAUGGAGAAAGCAAAAAAAAAUCAAUGAGGAAACAAGAAAGAUAAAUUGCGUACCAAGAGGGAAUAUGUUGAAGAGAAUUUAAAUUAAAAUAUUAAAAAAAUAGACAUUAAACUAAUAAAAAGGGAAACAAAAUAAAAGAGAGAAAAAAGAAAAGGAAUGAGAAAAAAGGUGUAAUCGGAAAAAGGUAAAGAAAAGAAAAGAAGAAGAGAGAAGAAAAAAAGCAAAGGAAAAGAGAACAAGGAAAAAAAGAGAAGGGAUGAAAAUAAAUAAAUAAAAGAGAAGAAAAUAAAUAAAAAUAAAAAUAAUAGAGAAAGAAAAUGAAACAAAGAGAUAAG